This 253-nucleotide ribosomal RNA is filed under the name uncultured bacterium. RNAcentral describes it as "partial 16S ribosomal RNA". It matches the Rfam family "Bacterial small subunit ribosomal RNA", at positions 524 to 776 of the family's 1533-position model. The record is from RNAcentral.
UACGUAGGGGGCAAGCGUUGUCCGGAUUUAUUGGGCGUAAAGAGCGUGUAGGCGGCUUUACAGGUCCGUUGUGAAAACUCGAGGCUCAACCUCGAGACGCCGGUGGAAACCGUAAAGCUAGAGUCCGGAAGAGGAGAGUGGAAUUCCUGGUGUAGCGGUGAAAUGCGCAGAUAUCAGGAAGAACACCAAUGGCGAAGGCAGCUCUCUGGGACGGUACUGACACUGAGACGCGAAAGCGUGGGGAGCGAACAGG